RNAcentral lists this transfer RNA (76 nucleotides) under Chloroflexota bacterium. RNAcentral describes it as "Chloroflexi bacterium tRNA-Thr". It matches the Rfam family "tRNA". Rfam says of the family: Transfer RNA (tRNA) molecules are approximately 80 nucleotides in length. Their secondary structure includes four short double-helical elements and three loops (D, anti-codon, and T loops). Lineage: Bacteria; Bacillati; Chloroflexota. The record is from RNAcentral. RNAcentral also lists the same sequence under 3 other names.
GCCCACGUAGCUCAGGCGGCAGAGCAUCUCCUUGGUAAGGAGAAGGUCCCCGGUUCGAAUCCGGGCGUGGGCUCCA